UCUGGCUUAUAGCUCAGCGGUCCCACUAGAGUGCCCAACUUAAUGAUGGCAACUAGAGGCGAGGGUUGCGCUCGUUGCGGGACUUAACCCAACAUCUCACAACACGAGCUGACGACAGCCAUGCAGCACCUGUCACCGCGUCCCGUAAGGGAACUCCCGCUUUCACGGGAUAGCGCGGGAUGUCAAGUCUAGGUAAGGUUUUUCGCGUAGCAUCGAAUUAAACCACAUGCUCCACCGCUUGUGCGGGCCCCCGUCAAUUCCUUUGAGUUUUAAUCUUGCGACCGUAAUCCCCAGGUGGAAUACUUAAUGCGUUAGCUACGUCACCGAGACAAUUAGGAAUCCCGACGACUAGUAUUCAUAGUUUAGGGCGUGGACUAC
This 378-nucleotide unclassified non-coding RNA is filed under the name uncultured delta proteobacterium. Its description in RNAcentral is "contains 16S-23S intergenic spacer region". Lineage: Bacteria; Deltaproteobacteria. The record is from RNAcentral.